AGCCCACUAGCUAGCCCCUCCAUCAAACCUAAAAACUUAAAUUUUCCCAUUUAUAUUUCCCCCAAGACCCUAAUUCCACGAAACAAAUCAUUUUACCCCCUAAGUAUGGGCGACAGAAAAGGACCUCGGAGCCAUAGAGAAAGUACCGUAAGGGAACGCUGAAAGAGAAAUGAAACAAAUUAGUCAAGCACAUAAAAGCAGAGAUUCUCCCUCGUACCUUUUGCAUCAUGAAUCAGCAAGAAACACCGAGCAAAAAGCAUUUUAGUUCGUGACCCCGAAACCAAGCGAGCUACUCCAAGACAGCCUUUUGGGCGUACCCGUCUCUGUUGCAAAAGAGUGGGGAGAGCUUUGAGUAGAGGUGAAAUAUCAACCGGGCUUGGUUAUAGCUGGUUGCCCAGGAACUGAAUAUAAGUUCAGCCCUUUAUCCUCUUCCCCCGCCUUUACCCAAAGAGCCUAAGAGGAUAAAAGAGUCAGUUAGAGGGGGGACAGCCCCUCUAAAAAAAGAUACAACUUUAUUAGCCGGGUUAAGAUUUAAUCCCUAAGGAAAUGUAGCCUAGUUGGCCUAAAAGCAGCCACCCAAACAGAAAGCGUUAAAGCUCACGCACAUCCUCCCUCCCAUUAUUAGAAUCAAAAUAUCUUAACCCCCUUUCAAUACUGAGCCCUUCCAUGCUUCCAUGGAAGAGAUUAUGCUGAUAUGAGUAAUAAGAGAUGAAGAAUCUCUCCCCGCACAAGUAUACAUCGGAACGAACCCCCACCGAAAUUUAACGGCCCCUACGAAAGAGGGAACUGGGACAUCACUAAAUCACAAGAAAUAACCUCAUCGUUCUCCCGUUGACCUUACACUAGAGUGCCUCUAGGGAAAGACUAAUAAGGAAAGAAGGAACUCGGCA
Molecule: ribosomal RNA, 890 nt
Filed under: Siphamia sp. YCM-P45343
Lineage: Eukaryota; Metazoa; Chordata; Actinopteri; Kurtiformes; Apogonidae
Description: partial 16S ribosomal RNA
Rfam family: Bacterial large subunit ribosomal RNA (bases 194-890)
Source: RNAcentral